Dipodomys ordii (Ord's kangaroo rat) is the source of this 73-nucleotide non-coding RNA. The record is from Rfam. NCBI's taxonomy places the organism in Eukaryota, Metazoa, Chordata, Mammalia, Rodentia, Heteromyidae.
GGGAGUAUGGCUCAAGUGGUAGAACAUCUACCUGGCAAGUGGGAGACCUUGAGUUCAAAUCCCAAUACUGCCC